UGGGGAAUCUUGCGCAAUGGGCGAAAGCCUGACGCAGCCAUGCCGCGUGAAUGAUGAAGGUCUUAGGAUUGUAAAAUUCUUUCACCGGGGACGAUAAUGACGGUACCCGGAGAAGAAGCCCCGGCUAACUUCGUGCCAGCAGCCGCGGUAAUACGAAGGGGGCUAGCGUUGCUCGGAAUUACUGGGCGUAAAGGGAGCGUAGGCGGACUGUUAAGUUAGAGGUGAAAGCCCAGGGCUCAACCGUGGAAUUGCCUUUGAUACUGGCAGUCUUGAGUACGGAAGAGGUAUGUGGAACUCCGAGUGUAGAGGUGAAAUUCGUAGAUAUUCGGAAGAACACCAGUGGCGAAGGCGACAUACUGGUCCGUUACUGACGCUGAGGCUCGAAAGCGUGGGGAGCAAACA
RNAcentral lists this ribosomal RNA (402 nucleotides) under uncultured bacterium. RNAcentral's name for it is "partial 16S ribosomal RNA". It matches the Rfam family "Bacterial small subunit ribosomal RNA", at positions 355 to 774 of the family's 1533-position model. The record is from RNAcentral.